RNAcentral lists this unclassified non-coding RNA (1304 nucleotides) under Hevea brasiliensis (rubber tree). The record is from RNAcentral. Lineage: Eukaryota; Viridiplantae; Streptophyta; Magnoliopsida; Malpighiales; Euphorbiaceae.
CAGUGAGAGAAAGAGAGAGAGGGAAAGAUGAAGAGAGAGACAUGAAAGAGUCAAUUUAUCUCUAUCUUUCCCCAUACCUUUCAUUCUCUCUCUCUCACUCCACCUCUCUCUUUCCUUAUUUUUUCAUGUACAUUUAAAAGCGUGAAAGUUUUAAAUAGUGAAAGAAAGAGAAAGAGACAAAUAGGAAGAGAGAAAGGGAGAGAUAUGGAAAGAAAGGUAGACAUAGUGAGUGUCAAUCUGUCUUUAUCUCUCUCCAUAUCUUUCAUUCUCUCUCUCACCCUCUCUCUUAUUAUCUUUCAUUAUCUCUCUUUCUUUUUUCUUAUUUUGUACUUUCAAAAUUUUUACACUUUUAGCAUUUAGGGUUUAAACUUUAUUUUUUUUCAUUUUUUGCUUUUGCAAUUUAGAAUAUGUAAUUUCACCUUUUUAUCAUUUAGGACAUAUAUUUUCAUAUUUUUUCACUUAGGUGAUAAAAUGAUAAAUGGCAUAAAACUUGAUGACUUGACACCCAUUAUGCAUGGCAUGCCAUGUCAUGUCAUCGCCACAUCAUGCAUGGCACCAUGUCAACAUGUCACGUCACACAUGAGUAUCACAUCAGCUUCAUUUAAUAUCGUUAGCAAUUUAUCCUCACGGUGUAAAUGAAACGAAAGUUUUUGUUCUCAAUUGAAACAAAACAAAGUGUAUGUCGAUACUAAAAAGGCUAAAGUACAGGGUACUAAAGUGUACUUUACCCUAAUAAUAAUCACUGAUAGUUUUACUCAGUAUUGAAUACAGCAUCAAAGCUCUUAAACAAGAAAGGGAGUAUCUGGCAAAGAGGGUGAGUUCAAAGCUAACAGCAGAGGAAAGGGAAAUGCUUUAUGCAAAAUGGGAGAUCCCAUCAGUGGGAAAACAAACGAGGUUACAACCGGUGAACAAAUUACGGACAGACCCUCUUAACAUGCAACACAUGCAAGAGAGUGCUGAAAUUAUAGCUAAGCUUGUUCGGUUUUGUGAAUCCGGUGAACGUAUUAGCAAGGAGAUGUUUGAGCUAAACUUUGUAAGCCCUUGUGAUAAGAAGAAAUGGAUGGGCUGGAAUUUGAUAUCAAACCUAUUAGCAUUUUAGCUAAAAAAAUAAACUUAGGUUCAUUUUUUACUUUUGGUUCAUUUUUCGUAUUGAUAGACGGGCAUUUUGUCAGACAAGGUGAUUUGUGUACAUGUAUAUGGGUUGUGUACAGUUUACAUUAUGAUGAUUUGUGUACACGUAUAAUUAUUCAAUGCCUUGUGACCACCUGGGCAGCAGAAAUUAAUGUAAACUGGUGAUGGAUAUG